CGAAACAAAUGAAACUUCUUUUGGAUAUGGAUAUAAUAGAGUUACAAGCAAACCAAAAUCUCAAUCGCCAGAUUCAUCAUAUGAUACUUAAGUCUCUAAAGGUAAACAACCAACAUGAAGAUUGCCCUCACAUAUACAAAGUGGAAGGUAAUAUCACACAUUGAAUAUUUAAUUUUGUUUUUAAUUUUUAUUCCUUUUAAUUUUUUUUCAUAAUUUUAAUUUCAAAUUUAAUUUGACGUAGCUGUCAGCCCCAAAAAAUUAUUUUUCCUUCGUCUCAAGUUUUUCUCUUUUUAUCUUUAUUUGUAAUUGUAUACUUGAUUUUCUUAAUCUUUUAUCUCUUUUGAUAUGUUUUUUUCAUCUUUAUUUUUAAAUUGAAUUUUAAUAUAUUUUAAAAAAUUAUUAAUAGUUACAAAUAACAUUGUAAAUAUAAAUUAUUUAUAACAAAUUUAAAAUAUAAUUUAUAUGUUUAAAAAUAUUUAUUUAUUAUGAAUUUUAAUAUAAUAUACUUUACAUAAGAAAAUAUAUUUAUUUAUUAUAAAUUUUUGUUACAUAAAGAUAUUCAUCUUGUCCAUUGUAAAUACUAAAAUAUUUUUUUUUAUGGAAAUAUGUAUUCUAUUUAAUUAGAUGGAAUAAAAAAUGUUUAAAAUUUUUAAAUGAAUGUCUAUAAUUCUUUUUGCUGAAUAAAAAAGAAUUGUAGAUAUUCAUUUUAGAUUAACAGAAUGAUUUUUUAAAGCUACUAGAUGAGAACACAUAAAAAAAGCUAUUAGAUGAGAGAAAGAAUCAGGCAAGAGAGAAAUUAAUUUAUUGGAAUUAUCUGAUUUAACAUAGAUGAUCAAUAUUAAAUAUCUAUACUAAUAAUAAAUCUAACAUAGAUAAUCAACAUUAAAUAUUUAUACUAAUAAAAAAGAAAUAUUCUAUUUUUUAUGUAUUUCAACUGUUUAGUUUGUGCUUUAAUUGAUUAUGAAAAAUGAUCUCUAAAUUAUAAAUAUUAUUAAAAAAGUUAACUCCUGAUCCAUGAUAGUUAUUUAUACUACCUUCGUUGUUUUUUUUUUAACAAACAAAUUAUAGUAUUUUAUAUUAUAACUUAUUUCUUAUAAAUAACAGCAAAAUAAAUGUUUUAAACUAGUAAGUCAUAAUAUAUAUAUGUUCAAUAUUAAUUCUUUUUACACCACAUCAUCCCAUACAUAGGCUCACAAACACUUAGAAUUUAAAUCUACAAAACAGUUAUAUAAUAGGAAAUGAAUUUAUAAAAAAAUGUUGACGAAUGAUCACAGCUAUUUAUUUUGAGAUAACUUAUUUAUUUUUUAAUUUUGAGUCAAAUGUAAUCCACUACUAUUACUUGAUUUUGUGGUGACUUGGAGUCAAAUUUUUUUUAACUAUCUAACAAUUUUCUUGAACUCAAUAUAUAAUACUAUACCUAUUUUAAUUUAUGAAAAAUACACUUGUUAUUAAUUUUGUAUUAUUUUGAAUUCUUAAGCAUAAUUUUGGUUUGCAAUAUUAGGAAAAGAAUAAAUCAAGAAGCUGAAGGUGUAAUAUUGCCCGUCUUUAAGUUGUAGACAUAAAUAAACGAAUAAAUGAAACAAAAAGGUGAAGCUUAAUUUUUAUUUUUUUAGUUAAUAUAUGUUAUACUUCAUUUAUGAGUAAAAGGCAUAUGGAUGAAGUAUAUCAUUUUUAUAUAAUAAUUUCCAAUUUAUAUUUUUUAUAAUUUUUUUUGUCUUAACCAGUUAACCCUCUUGUUCAUCCGGAAAAAUUAAUGUUGACUAAUUUAAAAUUUGGCUAAAAGACAAAUAAAGUCUUAUAAAAAAUUAUUUUUAUCAAUAAUCAAAUUCGAAUAGUAUUCAAACGAUUCAACUGUGAUUACUUUUUACAAAUUUAUAUUAAAAGUUAACUUAGUUUUGUAUAAAAAGGAAUUCAUAAAAUGAUCAAUGUUUAAACUAUUUUAGAAUUUAAUUAGAAUACACUAAUAGUAUAGAUUACACAUGCAGCUCCUCUUUCUUUUCACCCUACAUAAAACCCCCUAACUUUUGCAUUCCAAUUAUAGUAGCAACCCUUGAGCCCCCUAACACCAUUAAGAGAUUGUGCAUGUGAUUGGCACACGUUGUUUUAAUGACUUUUUAUCUUGAAAAUAUCCUUAUCCCCUUCCUGUGUGAUUUGUUUUCUAGCACAAGAAGUCAAAAACAACUGAAAACUCACGGAGGAAGGUAAUAAUCUAUAGAAACAAAAAAAAAAUAAAAUUGGUACACAACAAAUCAAAAUCAUCAACCCCCCACCCUAGCAUUGUCAAACUCAUUAUCAUCGUGGACCCAAUUUCAAAAACUCACCACUCACGGCUUGGUUUGAAAUGUUGUCCAUUGUCAUUGCAUCUCUUAGCUUUUGUUCUAGUGAUUAUAAUUCUGCCUUGUUUCUAAAGGCCAUUCCUCAUGGUCGUACUAUACUCUCCUUUAUGUUGACGACAUGAUUAUCACAAGGGAUGAUGUGGAUGGGAUUGCAUACUUAAAAUUGCACUUAGCAAGACAGUUUGAGAUGAAGCAUUUAGGUUCCCUUAAUUAUUUCAGGGGGAUUGAAGUUGUCUAUUCUCCUAGAGGUUAUCUUUUCUCUCAAUCUAAGUAUAUUGCCAACAUUCUUGAACAGGUCUGUCUUUCUGAUACUCGAACAACAAACACCCCUCUUAAGCUCAAUGUAAAAUAUGUCUCCUCUGAUGGUGUCCCUUUAUCUGAUCCCACUUUGUAUCGUACUAU
Molecule: long non-coding RNA, 2738 nt
Filed under: Glycine max (soybean)
Lineage: Eukaryota; Viridiplantae; Streptophyta; Magnoliopsida; Fabales; Fabaceae
Description: long non-coding RNA (GMAX_LNC003651)
Source: RNAcentral